RNAcentral lists this long non-coding RNA (405 nucleotides) under Pan troglodytes (chimpanzee). RNAcentral describes it as "long non-coding RNA NONPTRT007290". The record is from RNAcentral. Lineage: Eukaryota; Metazoa; Chordata; Mammalia; Primates; Hominidae.
GAAUAAAAAGAAGAAAAGCUACUAUAUAAAAUCAUCAUAUAUUAUAUAUAUGUAAUCAUUUUAAAAACUGAACCAGCAUUUUUUUUUUUUUUGAGACAGAGUCUCGCUCUGUCACCCAGGCUGGAGUGCAGUGGUGAGAUCAGAAAACCAUCCCAUACCCCACCAACUAAUUACCUAAAACUAGUAAUAAUAUUGAUGUCAAAACUAAAUAAAGGUAGUUCAAGACAAGAAAAUUAUAAAACUAUAGGUCAUUCCCAUUGAUAUACAUAGUUGCAAAAAUCCUAAACAAAAUAUCAGCAAAUUAAAUAGCAACAUAUAUGAAAAAAAUAAACUCUCAUAACCGAAUUAGAUUUACCUAAGCGGAAGAUACAGAACAAUAUACUACCUUUUGUUUUUUGUGUGUGU